CGUGCAGGUGGCUCUGUAAGUUGGAUGUGAAAUUUCCCGGCUUAACCGGGAGGGGUCAUUCAAUACUGCGGGGCUGGAGGGCAGAAGAGGGGGGUGGAAUUGCCGGUGUAGUGGUGAAAUGCGUAGAUAUCGGCAGGAACACCUGUGGCGAAAGCGGCCCCCUGGUCUGCUCCUGACACUCAGACGCGAAAGCUAGGGGAGCGAACGGGAUUAGAAACCCCGGUAGUCCUAGCCGUAAACGAUGGAUGCUAGGUGUAGGUGGUAUUGACCCCAUCUGUGCCGAAGCUAACGCGUUAAGCAUCCCGCCUGGGGACUACGGCCGCAAGGUUAAA
RNAcentral lists this ribosomal RNA (332 nucleotides) under uncultured bacterium. RNAcentral's name for it is "bacterial SSU rRNA". It matches the Rfam family "Bacterial small subunit ribosomal RNA", at positions 568 to 898 of the family's 1533-position model. The record is from RNAcentral.